RNAcentral lists this ribosomal RNA (583 nucleotides) under uncultured bacterium. RNAcentral describes it as "partial 16S ribosomal RNA". It matches the Rfam family "Bacterial small subunit ribosomal RNA", at positions 355 to 937 of the family's 1533-position model. The record is from RNAcentral.
UGGGGAAUUUUGGACAAUGGGCGAAAGCCUGAUCCAGCAAUGCCGCGUGUGUGAAGAAGGCCUUCGGGUUGUAAAGCACUUUUGUCCGGAAAGAAAUCCUUGGCUCUAAUACAGUCGGGGGAUGACGGUACCGGAAGAAUAAGCACCGGCUAACUACGUGCCAGCAGCCGCGGUAAUACGUAGGGUGCAAGCGUUAAUCGGAAUUACUGGGCGUAAAGCGUGCGCAGGCGGUUUGCUAAGACCGAUGUGAAAUCCCCGGGCUCAACCUGGGAACUGCAUUGGUGACUGGCAGGCUAGAGUAUGGCAGAGGGGGGUAGAAUUCCACGUGUAGCAGUGAAAUGCGUAGAGAUGUGGAGGAAUACCGAUGGCGAAGGCAGCCCCCUGGGCCAAUACUGACGCUCAUGCACGAAAGCGUGGGGAGCAAACAGGAUUAGAUACCCUGGUAGUCCACGCCCUAAACGAUGUCAACUAGUUGUUGGGGAUUCAUUCCUUAGUAACGUAGCUAACGCGUGAAGUUGACCGCCUGGGGAGUACGGUCGCAAGAUUAAAACUUAAAUGAAUUGACGGGGUCAUAGCUGUUCCU